This is a long non-coding RNA of Manihot esculenta (cassava), 565 nucleotides long. RefSeq lists it as uncharacterized. The record is from RefSeq and is a predicted model, not a curated record. The transcript is spliced from 3 exons. Lineage: Eukaryota; Viridiplantae; Streptophyta; Magnoliopsida; Malpighiales; Euphorbiaceae.
UUUAGAUGAGAUUACAGCUGCACUAGUGAGCCGUUUUGAGCUUAAUUUUACAAGACAGGACACUGCUUCUCUGUGGUUUCUCUGUAAGCAGGUGGCUUUGCUGGAGUGGACAGAUGACUUGGAGGUGUUUAUAUUGAAGGGUUAUGGUAAAUCAAUAAACUAUCGAAUGGGAGUCCCACUGCUUGAAGAUGUUGUUCAGUCCAUGGAGCAAGCUAGUAAGGCACAGGAAGGUAAUACAACUAUACAAGUCAUCAAAGUAUUAGCUGUAUUUUUUCUUUUAAUAUUUUUUAUUUAUUUUUUUAUGGCUUGACACCCUUGUAUGUUGCCCCUGCCUUUUAACUGAUUCCUUCUGCACCUUCUGGAUGGAGAAGGCUUGAAACCUUGAACUUACAUAAAGAUUUGUAAAUAUGGAGGAUGCUUGGCAGAAGUUAUUAGAACACACAUUAAGAAACCACAACUACAUGCCAUGGCAGCAAUUACUUGACUGGCUUUCCACAGAAGAAUUUCCUCACAUUGCAUGAUUACUUUGAGACUGUCGCCAGAAGAUUCAUACAAAGGUACUUCU